AUGAACGCUGGCGGCGUGCCUAAUACAUGCAUGUCGAGCGAACAGACGAGGAGCUUGCUCCUCUGACGUUAGCGGCGGACGGGUGAGUAACACGUGGAUAACCUACCUAUAAGACUGGGAUAACUUCGGGAAACCGGAGCUAGUACCGGAUAAUAUAUUGAACCGCAUGGUUCAAUAGUGAAAGACGGUUUUGCUGUUACUUAUAGAUGGAUCCGCGCCGCAUUAGCUAGUUGGUAAGGUAACGGCUUACCAAGGCAACGAUGGGUAGCCGACCUGAGAGGGUGAUCGGCCACACUGGAACUGAGACACGGUCCAGACUCCUACGGGAGGCAGCAGUAGGGAAUCUUCCGCAAUGGGCGAAAGCCUGACGGAGCAACGCCGCGUGAGUGAUGAAGGUCUUCGGAUCGUAAAACUCUGUUAUUAGGGAAGAACAAAUGUGUAAGUAACUAUGCACGUCUUGACGGUACCUAAUCAGAAAGCCACGGCUAACUACGUG
RNAcentral lists this ribosomal RNA (496 nucleotides) under uncultured bacterium. Its description in RNAcentral is "partial 16S ribosomal RNA". It matches the Rfam family "Bacterial small subunit ribosomal RNA", at positions 29 to 507 of the family's 1533-position model. The record is from RNAcentral.